UUAAGAAUAUUGGACAAUGAGGGAAACCUUGAUCCAGCCAUACCGCGUGUGUGAAGAAGGCCUUAGGGUUGUAAAGCACUUUAAGCGAUGAAGAAGAAAAGUAAGUUAAUACCUUACUUUUUUGACGUUACUCGCAGAAUAAGUACCGGCUAACUCCGUGCCAGCAGCCGCGGUAAUACGGAGGGUACAAGCGUUAAUCGGAAUUACUGGGCGUAAAGCGCGCGUAGGCGGUUAAGUAAGUUGGAUGUGAAAGCCCUGGGCUCAACCUAGGAACUGCAUUCAAAACUAUUUAACUAGAGUGCGAGAGAGGAGAGUAGAAUUUCUGGUGUAGCGGUGAAAUGCGUAGAUAUCAGAAGGAAUACCAAUGGCGAAGGCAGCUCUCUGGAUCGUCACUGACGCUAAGGUGCGAAAGCGUGGGUAGCAAACAGG
RNAcentral lists this ribosomal RNA (429 nucleotides) under uncultured bacterium. Its description in RNAcentral is "bacterial SSU rRNA". It matches the Rfam family "Bacterial small subunit ribosomal RNA", at positions 355 to 776 of the family's 1533-position model. The record is from RNAcentral.